AUUCCCAAAUUUUCGCUCGCUUAGCCAUUCUCUCAUUUUUUUCACUCCACCCAGCCUCUCUCUCACUCUCCUUUCUCCACCGCGCCGUUUCUCUCAGACUCUCAGUCCAGACCCACCCUACCUAUCCUCACCCUCACCUACCGGCACCGUAGGCACUGCCGCUUCUUCAUCUUCUUCUAUUCUCUCUGGAGUCUGGAUUCUCCACUCUCUCCGUCAGAUUCGACCUUGGGAAGGCAGUGGAACAGAUCAACAGAUUCGGUGCUUGGGGGUUUUGGUUGGUUUUUGCUUAUUGUGCUGUCUUUCAGCUACGAUAUCAAAGAAUGCUUUCCUUUCUUCCUCUCUCGUCCAUAGAAAGAGUUAAAUUGAAGAACGAAAAGACAAGAUCUUUGAACUGAAAAGAUCUUGUGAAAUCCCAUAUUCAACAUUUGGCGAGGUUUAGGCUGCAUCUGUUGUUUUGUUUUUAGUAGGGCUGCAUCUGUUGUUUUUUGUACUGGUGGGAGAGGGAGAAGGAAGGGCUUGCCGGGGCGACUGUCAGGGCCGGGGUCAAGUGCUUGGGGGUUUUGGUUGGGUUCUGCGAUUUGGAGGAUUGGAAUAAGCACAAUAAUCGUUUCAAGAACACACAUUUGAGUUCUACCUCAAAUACUUUGGGAGGGUACUUUGAGGUCUUCAAGAAUACUCAUUAGAGUGAAUCACAUGGAUGGACAACUGAGAGAGCAAAGGAAUAUUAUGAACAAAUGAUCAACACUCGCGAUGCUCGUUUUAGUGAACUACCAGAGAGGGGUUUAGAACUUGACUACGAUACGGAGGAAGAAAUUUACUCAAGUUUUGUCAAAUGAUAGGUAUGAAAAAUAUGGUUUCGAGCGUGGCAUAGGUCUUGUAUCAAGACAAGCAUCACAAGUACGCAAAUCUGGAGGGUUUGGAUAUGAAAACCUUCAAAAUGAAGUUCAGGAUCACAAACAUCGUAUGUCGGACGUAGAAAUUCUAAUGAAGCAAUAACAAGAGUUUAUUCAAAAACUACUUCAGCAGAUCAUCCUGGACCUUCCGUCCCAAGAAGAGAAGAUCCUCCGCCACCACCACCACCACCACCGGCCUCAGUUUGU
Molecule: long non-coding RNA, 1100 nt
Organism: Morus notabilis
Lineage: Eukaryota; Viridiplantae; Streptophyta; Magnoliopsida; Rosales; Moraceae
Exons: 4
Source: RefSeq, a predicted model, not a curated record